Beta vulgaris subsp. vulgaris (sugar beet) is the source of this 95-nucleotide non-coding RNA. The record is from Rfam. NCBI's taxonomy places the organism in Eukaryota, Viridiplantae, Streptophyta, Magnoliopsida, Caryophyllales, Amaranthaceae.
GGUGCAGAUGAUGAUAAAACUAGACAGGGACAUCAGAACUCGUAGGAGCAUCAAAUAUGAUGAUUUGUCUAAAAUGGGAAUCUCUUUGAUGCAAU